AACGAACGCUGGCGGCAUGCCUAACACAUGCAAGUCGAACGAGACCUUCGGGUCUAGUGGCGCACGGGUGCGUAACGCGUGGGAACCUGCCUUUAGGUUCGGAAUAACUCAGAGAAAUUUGAGCUAAUACCGGAUAAUGUCUUCGGACCAAAGAUUUAUCGCCUUUAGAUGGGCCCGCGUAAGAUUAGCUAGUUGGUGGGGUAAAGCCUACCAAGGCGACGAUCUUUAGCUGGUCUGAGAGGAUGAUCAGCCACACUGGGACUGAGACACGGCCCAGACUCCUACGGGAGGCAGCAGUGGGAAUAUUGGACAAUGGGCGAAAGCCUGAUCCAGCAAUGCCGCGUGAGUGAUGAAGGCCUUAGGGGUUGUAAAAGCUCUUUUACCCGAGAUGAUAAUGUCAGUAUCGGGAGAAUAAGACUCCGGCUAACUCCGUGCCAGCAGCCGCGGUAAU
Molecule: ribosomal RNA, 451 nt
Filed under: uncultured bacterium
Lineage: Bacteria
Description: bacterial SSU rRNA
Rfam family: Bacterial small subunit ribosomal RNA
Source: RNAcentral